Molecule: ribosomal RNA, 433 nt
Filed under: uncultured bacterium
Lineage: Bacteria
Description: partial 16S ribosomal RNA
Rfam family: Bacterial small subunit ribosomal RNA
Source: RNAcentral
AACGAACGCUGGCGGCAUGCCUAACACAUGCAAGUCGAACGAGACCUUCGGGUCUAGUGGCGCACGGGUGCGUAACGCGUGGGAACCUUCCCUUAGGCUCGGAAUAACUCCCCGAAAGGGGUGCUAAUACCGGAUAAUGUCUUCGGACCAAAGAUUUAUCGCCUUUGGAUGGGCCCGCGUUGGAUUAGCUAGUUGGUAGGGUAAAAGCCUACCAAGGCGACGAUCCAUAGCUGGUCUGAGAGGAUGAUCAGCCACACUGGGACUGAGACACGGCCCAGACUCCUACGGGAGGGAGCAGUGGGGAAUAUUGGAAAAUGGGGGAAAGCCUGAUCCAGCAAUGCCGCGUGAGUGAUGAAGGCCUUAGGGUUGUAAAGCUCUUUUACCCGGGAUGAUAAUGACAGUACCGGGAGAAUAAGCACCGGCUAACUCCGUG